Molecule: ribosomal RNA, 466 nt
Filed under: uncultured bacterium
Lineage: Bacteria
Description: partial 16S ribosomal RNA
Rfam family: Bacterial small subunit ribosomal RNA
Source: RNAcentral
GACGAACGCUGGCGGCGUGCUUAACACAUGCAAGUCGAACGGAAAGGCCCUGCUUUUGUGGGGUGCUCGAGUGGCGAACGGGUGAGUAACACGUGAGUAACCUGCCCUUGACUUUGGGAUAACUUCAGGAAACUGGGGCUAAUACCGGAUAGGAGCUCCUGCUGCAUGGUGGGGGUUGGAAAGUUUCGGCGGUUGGGGAUGGACUCGCGGCUUAUCAGCUUGUUGGUGGGGUAGUGGCUUACCAAGGCUUUGACGGGUAGCCGGCCUGAGAGGGUGACCGGCCACAUGGGGACUGGGAAACGGCCCAGCCCCCUCCGGGGGGAAGGAGGGGGGAAUAUUGCAAAAGGGGGGGAAGCCUGAUGGAGCAACGCCGCGGGGGGGAUGAAGGCCUUGGGGUUGAAAACCGCUUUCCCCUGGGACGAAGGGUGAGGGAGGGUAAGGGGAAAAGAAGCACCGGCAAACUACG